This 409-nucleotide ribosomal RNA is filed under the name uncultured Gammaproteobacteria bacterium. RNAcentral's name for it is "bacterial SSU rRNA". It matches the Rfam family "Bacterial small subunit ribosomal RNA", at positions 9 to 416 of the family's 1533-position model. The record is from RNAcentral. Lineage: Bacteria; Pseudomonadati; Pseudomonadota; Gammaproteobacteria.
GAGUUUGAUCCUGGCUCAGAGUGAACGCUGGCGGCAGGCCUAACACAUGCAAGUCGAACGGCAGCGCAGCAGUAGCAAUACUGUGGGCGGCGAGUGGCGGACGGGUGAGGAAUACAUCGGAAUCUACCUUGUCGUGGGGGAUAACGUAGGGAAACUUACGCUAAUACCGCAUACGAACUACGGUUGAAAGCGGCGGACCGCAAGGCGUCGCGCGAUUGGAUGAGCCGAUGUCCGAUUAGCUAGUUGGCGGGUAAAGGCCACCAAGGCGACGAUCGGUAGCUGGUCUGAGAGGAUGAUCAGCCACACUGGAACUGAGACACGGUCCAGACUCCUACGGGAGGCAGCAGCGGGGAAUAUUGGACAAUGGGCGCAAGCCUGAUCCAGCCAUGCCGCGUGUGUGAAGAAGGCC